Molecule: unclassified non-coding RNA, 310 nt
Filed under: plant metagenome
Description: partial contains 5.8S ribosomal RNA, internal transcribed spacer 2, and large subunit ribosomal RNA
Rfam family: 5.8S ribosomal RNA (bases 1-105)
Source: RNAcentral
GAAAUGCGAUAAGUAGUGUGAAUUGCAGAAUUCAGUGAAUCAUCGAAUCUUUGAACGCACAUUGCGCCCCUUGGUAUUCCAUGGGGCAUGCCUGUUCGAGCGUCAUUUGUACCCUCAAGCUCUGCUUGGUGUUGGGUGUUUGUCCCCGUCUCCGCGCGUGGACUCGCCCCAAAGUGAUUGGCAGCCGGCGUACUGGUCCCGGAGCGCAGCACAUGUCGCGCAAACGAGUGCCUUGGUACGGCGGCGUCCAUAAGCCCCUCUCUCACGCUCUUGACCUCGGAUCAGGCAGGGAUACGCGCUGAACUUAAGC